RNAcentral lists this ribosomal RNA (253 nucleotides) under uncultured bacterium. Its description in RNAcentral is "partial 16S ribosomal RNA". It matches the Rfam family "Bacterial small subunit ribosomal RNA", at positions 524 to 776 of the family's 1533-position model. The record is from RNAcentral.
UACGUAGGCAGCAAGCGUUGUUCGGAGUUACUGGGCGUAAAGGGUGCGUAGGCGGUUUGGUAAGUCUUAUGUGAAAUCUAUGGGCUCAACUCAUAGACUGCAUGAGAAACUGCCGGGCUUGAGUAUGGGAGAGGUGAGUGGAAUUCCUGGUGUAGCGGUGAAAUGCGUAGAUAUCAGGAGGAACACCUGUGGCGAAAGCGGCUCACUGGACCAUAACUGACGCUGAUGCACGAAAGCUAGGGGAGCAAACAGG